GAUCAUGGGCUCAGGAUGAACGCUAGCGGCAGGCUUAACACAUGCAAGUCGAGGGGCAGCAUAAUGGAUAGCAAUAUCUAUGGUGGCGACCGGCGCACGGGUGCGUAACGCGUAUGCAACCUACCUUUAACAGGGGGAUAACACUGAGAAAUUGGUACUAAUACCCCAUAAUAUCAUAGAAGGCAUCUUUUAUUGGUUGAAAAUUACCGAUGGUUAGAGAUGGGCAUGCGUUGUA
Molecule: ribosomal RNA, 235 nt
Filed under: uncultured bacterium
Lineage: Bacteria
Description: partial 16S ribosomal RNA
Rfam family: Bacterial small subunit ribosomal RNA
Source: RNAcentral